CAGCAGUAGGGAAUCUUCCGCAAUGGACGAAAGUCUGACGGAGCAACGCCGCGUGAGUGAUGAAGGUUUUCGGAUCGUAAAACUCUGUUGUCAGGGAAGAACAAGUGCCGGAGUAACUGCCGGCACCUUGACGGUACCUGACCAGAAAGCCACGGCUAACUACGUGCCAGCAGCCGCGGUAAUACGUAGGUGGCAAGCGUUGUCCGGAAUUAUUGGGCGUAAAGCGCGCGCAGGCGGUUUCUUAAGUCUGAUGUGAAAGCCCCCGGCUCAACCGGGGAGGGUCAUUGGAAACUGGGAAACUUGAGUGCAGAAGAGGAGAGUGGAAUUCCACGUGUAGCGGUGAAAUGCGUAGAGAUGUGGAGGAACACCAGUGGCGAAGGCGACUCUCUGGUCUGUAACUGACGCUGAGGCGCGAAAGCGUGGGGAGCGAACAGGAUUAGAUACCCUGGUAGUCCACGCCGUAAACGAUGAGUGCUAAGUGUUAGAGGGUUUCCGCCCUUUAGUGCUGCAGCUAACGCAUAA
This 522-nucleotide ribosomal RNA is filed under the name uncultured Bacillus sp. RNAcentral's name for it is "bacterial SSU rRNA". It matches the Rfam family "Bacterial small subunit ribosomal RNA", at positions 349 to 862 of the family's 1533-position model. Lineage: Bacteria; Bacillati; Bacillota; Bacilli; Caryophanales; Bacillaceae. The record is from RNAcentral.